RNAcentral lists this ribosomal RNA (439 nucleotides) under uncultured bacterium. Its description in RNAcentral is "partial 16S ribosomal RNA". It matches the Rfam family "Bacterial small subunit ribosomal RNA", at positions 339 to 795 of the family's 1533-position model. The record is from RNAcentral.
CUACGGGCCGCAGCAGUGGGGAAUCUUAGACAAUGGGCGCAAGCCUGAUCUAGCCAUGCCGCGUGAGUGACGAAGGCCUUAGGGUCGUAAAGCUCUUUCGCUGGAGAAGAUAAUGACGGUAUCCAGUAAAGAAACCCCGGCUAACUCCGUGCCAGCAGCCGCGGUAAUACGGAGGGGGUUAGCGUUGUUCGGAAUUACUGGGCGUAAAGCGCGCGUAGGCGGACCAGAAAGUUGGGGGUGAAAUCCCGGGGCUCAACCUCGGAACUGCCUCCAAAACUCCUGGUCUUGAGUUCGAGAGAGGGGAGUGGAAUUCCGAGUGUAGAGGUGAAAUUCGUAGAUAUUCGGAGGAACACCAGUGGCGAAGGCGGCUCACUGGCUCGAUACUGACGCUGAGGUGCGAAAGCGUGGGGAGCAAACAGGAUUAGAUACCCCCGUAGUC